This 71-nucleotide transfer RNA is filed under the name Marmota monax (woodchuck). It matches the Rfam family "tRNA". Rfam says of the family: Transfer RNA (tRNA) molecules are approximately 80 nucleotides in length. Their secondary structure includes four short double-helical elements and three loops (D, anti-codon, and T loops). Lineage: Eukaryota; Metazoa; Chordata; Mammalia; Rodentia; Sciuridae. The record is from Rfam by way of RNAcentral.
GGGGUUGUGGCUCAGUGGUAAAGCAUUUGCCUAGCAUGCAUGAGGCACUGGGUUCGAUUCUCAGCACCCUA